AUACGUAGGGUGCAAGCGUUAAUCGGAAUUACUGGGCGUAAAGCGUGCGCAGGCGGUUUUGUAAGGCAGAGGUGAAAUCCCCGGGCUCAAACUGGGAACUGCCUUUGAGACUGCAAGGCUAGAGUACGGCAGAGGGGGAUGGAAUUCCGCGUGUAGCAGUGGAAUGCGUAGAUAUGCGGAGGAACACCGAUGGCGAAGGCAAUCCCCUGGGCCUGUACUGACGCUCAUGCACGAAAGCGUGGGGAGCAAACAGGAUUAGAUACCCUGGUAGUCCACGCCCUAAACGAUGUCAACUGGUUGUUGGGUCUUCAUUGACUCAGUAACGAAGCUAACGCGUGAAGUUGACCGCCUGGGGAGUACGGCCGCAAGGUUGAAACUCAAAUGAAUUGACGGGG
Molecule: ribosomal RNA, 395 nt
Filed under: uncultured bacterium
Lineage: Bacteria
Description: partial 16S ribosomal RNA
Rfam family: Bacterial small subunit ribosomal RNA
Source: RNAcentral